This 508-nucleotide ribosomal RNA is filed under the name Davidiellaceae sp. TGF56-MRL. Its description in RNAcentral is "eukaryotic LSU rRNA". The stretch from base 158 to 311 matches the Rfam family "5.8S ribosomal RNA". The record is from RNAcentral. Lineage: Eukaryota; Fungi; Ascomycota; Dothideomycetes; Cladosporiales; Cladosporiaceae.
AAAAAACGCCCGGGGGCUUCGGCCUGGUUAUUCAUAACCCUUUGUUGUCCGACUCUGUUGCCUCCGGGGCGACCCUGCCUUCGGGCGGGGGCUCCGGGUGGACACUUCAAACUCUUGCGUAACUUUGCAGUCUGAGUAAACUUAAUUAAUAAAUUAAAACUUUUAACAACGGAUCUCUUGGUUCUGGCAUCGAUGAAGAACGCAGCGAAAUGCGAUAAGUAAUGUGAAUUGCAGAAUUCAGUGAAUCAUCGAAUCUUUGAACGCACAUUGCGCCCCCUGGUAUUCCGGGGGGCAUGCCUGUUCGAGCGUCAUUUCACCACUCAAGCCUCGCUUGGUAUUGGGCAACGCGGUCCGCCGCGUGCCUCAAAUCGUCCGGCUGGGUCUUCUGUCCCCUAAGCGUUGUGGAAACUAUUCGCUAAAGGGUGUUCGGGAGGCUACGCCGUAAAACAACCCCAUUUCUAAGGUUGACCUCGGAUCAGGUAGGGAUACCCGCUGAACUUAAGCAUAU